RNAcentral lists this ribosomal RNA (481 nucleotides) under uncultured Glomeromycotina. RNAcentral describes it as "SSU rRNA". It matches the Rfam family "Eukaryotic small subunit ribosomal RNA", at positions 591 to 1078 of the family's 1831-position model. The record is from RNAcentral. Lineage: Eukaryota; Fungi; Glomeromycota.
CCAAUAGCGUAUAUUAAAGUUGUUGCAGUUAAAAAGCUCGUAGUUGAAUUUCGGAUCCAUAUAUUGGUCGUGCCUUGGUACGUACUGGUAUCAUUGAUUUCUCCCUUCUGACGAACCAUGAUGUCAUUAAUUUGGUGUUAUGGGGAGUUAGGACUGUUACUUUGAAAAAAUUAGAGUGUUUAAAGCAAGCAUUAGCUUGAAUACAUUAGCAUGGAAUAAUGAAAUAGGACGUUUGACCCUAUUUUGUUGGUUUCUAGGAUCGACGUAAUGAUUAAUAGGGAUAGUUGGGGGCAUUAGUAUUCAAUUGUCAGAGGUGAAAUUCUUGGAUUUAUUGAAGACUAACUACUGCGAAAGCAUUUGCCAAGGAUGUUUUCAUUUAUCAAGAACGAAGUUAGGGGAUCGAAGACGAUCAGAUACGUCGUAGUCCUAACCAUAAACUAUGCGACUAGGGAUCGGAUGAUGUUUAUUUUAUAAUGACUCA